CGGCGACUUAUAGUUAGUGGCAGGUUAAGGUAGUGAAUACUGAAGCCAUAGUGAAAGCGAGCCUGAAUAGGGCGUUUGUCACUAGUUAUAGACCCGAACCCGGAUGAUCUAACCAUGGUCAGGUUGAAGCUCAGGUAAUACUGAGUGGAGGACCGAACCGACUGAUGUUGAAAAAUCAGCGGAUGAAUUGUGGUUAGGGGUGAAAUGCCAAUCGAAUUCGGAGCUAGCUGGUUCUCCCCGAAAUGCGUUUUGGCGCAGCGGUAAAUGUUAUAAUCUAGGGGUAAAGCACUGUUACGUAUGCGGGCUGGUAAUUCGGUACCAAAUCGUUGCAAACUAAGAAUACUAGAUGUAUAGUUUACCAGUAAGACUGUGGGGGAUAAGCUCCAUUGUCAAGAGGGAAACAGCCCAGAGCACCAGUUAAGGCCCUUAAAUAAUUACUAAGUGGUAAAGGAGGUGGGAGUGCAUAAACAAUCAGGAGGUUUGCUUAGAAGCAGCAAUCCUUUAAAGAGUGCGUAAUAGCUCACUGAUCGAGUAAACCUGCGCCGAAAAUGUAUGGGACUAAGUAAUUUGCCGAAACUGUGCGAUAUAUAUUUAUAUAUCGGUAGGGGAGCGUUCUGUUGUAGGUCGAAGUAUUAGCGUAAGCGGAUAUGGACGAAGCAGAAGUGAGAAUGUCGGCUUGAGUAACGAAAAUAUAGGUGAGAAUCCUAUACCCCGAAAACCCAAGGUUUCCUCCGGAAGGCUCGUCCGCGGAGGGUAAGUCAGGACCUAAGGCGAGGCUGAAAAGCGUAGUCGAUGGACAACGGGUUAAUAUUCCCGUACCAUUUUUUAUUGAUAUCGAGGGACGGAGAAGGCUAAGCUAGCCGGAUAUUGGUUUUACCGGUUUAAACGUUCGAGAUGUUGAGAAGCGGCGAAAACGCUUUGAGUUGAGACGUGAAUACGAGACGCUAAGGCGUCGAAGUAGUGUAUGUCAUACUUCCAAGAAAAGCUUGCACUGUCAUAAAUAAAAAAUGCCUGUACCAUAACCGACACAGGUGGGUAGGUAGAGUAUACUAAGGGGCGCGAGAUAACUCUCUCUAAGGAACUCGGCAAAAUAACUCCGUAACUUCGGGAGAAGGAGUGCCUUAUUCUUAAGGUUGCAAUAACAAGAUCCAAGCAACUGUUUAUCAAAAACACAGGUCUCCGCUAAGUCGUAAGACGAUGUAUGGGGGCUGACGCCUGCCCAGUGCCAGAAGGUUAAAGAAGUUGGUUAGCAAUUGCGAAGCUGGUAACUGAAGCCCUGGUGAACGGCGGCCGUAACAAUAACGGUCCUAAGGUAGCGAAAUUCCUUGUCGGGUAAGUUCCGACCUGCACGAAUGGCGUAACGACUUCCCCACUGUCUCCAACAUAGACUCAGCGAAAUUGAAUUCC
This 1407-nucleotide ribosomal RNA is filed under the name Thalassiosira punctigera. RNAcentral's name for it is "partial Bacterial large subunit ribosomal RNA". It matches the Rfam family "Bacterial large subunit ribosomal RNA", at positions 621 to 2050 of the family's 2925-position model. The record is from RNAcentral. Lineage: Eukaryota; Bacillariophyta; Thalassiosirophyceae; Thalassiosirales; Thalassiosiraceae.